AUGAACGCUGGCGGCGUGCCUAAUCCAUGCAAGUCGAGCGAACAGAUGAGGAGCUUGCUCCUCUGACGUUAGCGGCGGACGGGUGAGUAACACGUGGAUAACCUACCUAUAAGACUGGGAUAACUUCGGGAAACCGGAGCUAAUACCGGAUAAUAUAUUGAACCGCAUGGUUCAAUAGUGAAAGACGGUUUUGCUGUCACUUAUAGAUGGAUCCGCGCCGCAUUAGCUAGUUGGUAAGGUAACGGCUUACCAAGGCAACGAUGCGUAGCCGACCUGAGAGGGUGGUCGGCCACACUGGGACUGGGACACGGUCCAGACUCCUACGGGAGGGCGCAGGAGGGAAUCUUCCGGAAUGGGCGGAAGCCUGGCGGAGCCACGCCGCGUGAGUGAUGAAGGUCUUCGGAUCGUAAAACUCUGGUAUUAGGGAAGAACAAAUGUGUAAGUAACUAUGCACGUCUUGACGGUACCUAAUCAGAAAGCCACGGCUAACUACGUG
This 496-nucleotide ribosomal RNA is filed under the name uncultured bacterium. RNAcentral describes it as "partial 16S ribosomal RNA". It matches the Rfam family "Bacterial small subunit ribosomal RNA", at positions 29 to 507 of the family's 1533-position model. The record is from RNAcentral.